UUUUUUUGGCAAAUGUCAGGCCUUAUAUCUCGGUCAUCUUUAAUGUGUUUUGUGUUCUAAAGGUUGAUAUGUGUAGCUUGUUAUGUGGUAUUUAACCUCCAAAAAGAAUCAGGUCCAUAUAUAUUACGGAUUAAGAGUUAUUUAAGGUCAAAGUGGGUUGACCGGCAUUGACCGGAAAAUUCUGGGCAGCCCAGAAUUUUCUAAGUGUUAAUUUUUCUGACUAGGUUUGACCAUACUUUAGAUGCUUGUUUUAUUGUUGUUAUGAUUAUUUUAAGUGUUAGAGUUGUAGUCCUACAUGUUGUCUACACACUGGAAUUGAUAGAUCACGUAAACAUUUCACGAUCAUCAAGUUAUAGAGGUUCAAAGUAGGCAUCACGAACUGUUCUUCACGAAGAACAGCUCUGAUAGCUACUUUGAGGUACGAUUUCCCCCAGAUCUGAU
RNAcentral lists this long non-coding RNA (441 nucleotides) under Panax ginseng (ginseng). RNAcentral's name for it is "long non-coding RNA (PGIN_LNC004465)". The record is from RNAcentral. Lineage: Eukaryota; Viridiplantae; Streptophyta; Magnoliopsida; Apiales; Araliaceae.